GUCAGAGACCUCUUCCACUGUCCACAAAUUUUCCUGAUGUAAUUGCCUCAGUGGUGUUGUUUGUUUGGAUUGUGUUUUUUUUUACUUUUAUGAGGUCUGUGUGAUUCUCCGGACUCUGCCUGCUCUGAGUGGCAGUGUUUGUUAACAAUGGCGCUCCUUUGGGGGAAAUUAGGGCAGACUUCAUGCAGUCGUUUAGUAAAAAUAAAAAAAGGCCUGACAUAGGGAAACCUGAUGUUUCAUUGAAAAAUUCAAAGAACCUUAAACCUCAUGAAUCUCCACCCUUGAGAGAUGCAUUGGAGUCAAAUGCAUCAUUUGGGAUUUAAAACUGCCUUGAGUUGUUUUUUUAAUGACUUGCGUUUCAGAAUAAACAUCUGUUGCCUAAAAUUCAAAUGGUUUUGACAUUUUGCAUGUUAGGGAUAAAACCCAGAGACAAACAUUGGCAGUUUCAGACUGAAGGAGAAGAACGUACGAUGAUGGAAAAGGUUCUGCUCAUCUUUGCUGCUUCAGGCAAGUCUUUCAUAUGCUUAUAUUUGUCCUUAUGCUUGUGAUUGUCAUGUUCCUGCGUGUCUUUGGCAGCUCUGAGUGCGGUUUCCUCACGCCCCGCACGCCGGUACCAUGUCAUUUAUGACCCAAAGAACUGGAUUGAAGCUCAGAGUUACUGCAGAGAGAAAUUCACUGACUUAGCAACUGUGGACAACAUGGAUGAUGUGAACACCCUGAUGAACAUGGGACUUCCAACUACCCUGGUACCUUGGAUUGGCUUAUAUUAUGAUGGAGGCACUUGGCAGUGGUCGAUGACAGACAAAGAUUUCUUCAAACAAGAUGAAGCUAACUACAGAUACUGGUAUCCUGGUGAACCCAUCAGUGGCUGGAACAACGUACAGUGUGUGUACAUGUAUGCCAGCGGACUGUGGAACGACGCUCCUUGUGAUUGGUUAAUAAAACCAAUGUGCUCUGAUGUGAGAGGUGAGGUUAUGCUCAAUGAACAACACCGCUGUUCUUGACCUUAAAUAUUGCUCUCGUUCGGCCUACUUCUGCACCGACAGAGGUGAAUUUCUAAUGAACUCCUGUCUUUCUGCACAAACUUCAUCCUAGAAAACAACACAGUUUUUCAUAUUUUGGUUAAAAAAAGGCUUAAUUAUAAUUAAAAGACCUCUGGGAACUUUUUUUAUGAUGGAUCAAAAUAUGACUAAAGUGGGGCUUAUAGAAAAGUCAAGGUGGGUAAGGCAGCUGGCCCAGACAGUGUCAGCAAGAGGUUCCUAAAGUACUUUUUAUUUCAGCUAGUAUAAUGAAACCAUCAUUUGUUUUCUAAUAGAUAACUGCAGGAGACGGUCUUGUAUAUUUCAGGUGUUUGUUCUGAUCUGUAGAUGUGUGGAGG
RNAcentral lists this long non-coding RNA (1378 nucleotides) under Oryzias sinensis (Chinese medaka). RNAcentral's name for it is "lncRNA (ENSOSIG00000008254.1)". Lineage: Eukaryota; Metazoa; Chordata; Actinopteri; Beloniformes; Adrianichthyidae. The record is from RNAcentral.